This 72-nucleotide ribosomal RNA is filed under the name Parageobacillus toebii. RNAcentral describes it as "partial 23S ribosomal RNA". Lineage: Bacteria; Bacillati; Bacillota; Bacilli; Caryophanales; Anoxybacillaceae. The record is from RNAcentral.
CGAUAGGUCCGAGGUGGAAGCGUGGCGACACGUGGAGCUGACGGAUACUAAUCGAUCGAGGACUUAACCAAA